RNAcentral lists this ribosomal RNA (398 nucleotides) under uncultured bacterium. RNAcentral's name for it is "partial 16S ribosomal RNA". It matches the Rfam family "Bacterial small subunit ribosomal RNA", at positions 523 to 918 of the family's 1533-position model. The record is from RNAcentral.
AUACGUAGGGUGCGAGCGUUGUCCGGAAUUACUGGGCGUAAAGAGCUCGUAGGUGGUUUGUCGCGUCGUCUGUGAAAUUCCGGGGCUUAACUCCGGGCGUGCAGGCGAUACGGGCAUAACUUGAGUACUGUAGGGGAGACUGGAAUUCCUGGUGUAGCGGUGAAAUGCGCAGAUAUCAGGAGGAACACCGGUGGCGAAGGCGGGUCUGUGGGCAGUAACGGACGCUGAGGAGCGAAAGCAUGGGUAGCGAACAGGAUUAGAUACCCUGGUAGUCCAUGCCGUAAACGGUGGGCGCUAGGUGUAGGGGUCUUCCACGACUUCUGUGCCGUAGCUAACGCAUUAAGCGCCCCGCCUGGGGAGUACGGCCGCAAGGCUAAAACUCAAAGGAAUUGACGGGG